AAGACGUUUCCUGAUGCCAGAGGAGAAGACGAGCAGCUUUGUACCUUUGCGGUUCCUCUCUAUCUCCCCACACAUCCACCAACCACUGGAACACAUCUCCAAAGUUCUGCUGGACCAGCUCAGCUUCCCCUCAGAAGAAGUGCUGCCACCUGCCAGAUGAAGGAGCGUUUUGAGAGGCAGCUGGCAUCGUGAUUGGACUGUACUUUGGUCUGUUCCAAUCCAGCUUCAGCUCCAGAGACGGCAGGCGGGACGAGUCAACGGAGGCCGGAUGGACGAAGGCAUGAAGCUGAGUACAAUCCAGAAAACAACAGAGGAGGAGUGCAGCAGCCCAGGACCAGGACAACCAGAGUAGCAUGUCACUGUAAAAAGUCAGUCCAUCCUGGCCGACAUCAACACCUCUUCAUGACAACUUGUUCUGCCUCGGACCUCGUGGAAACUCCAGAAUCUCGGGAAAACCUGUCGAGACUCGAAGAACUCGUGGAGACUCGAUGAACUCGUCGGGCGGGG
Long non-coding RNA from Amphiprion ocellaris (clown anemonefish), 507 nucleotides. The record is from Ensembl. NCBI's taxonomy places the organism in Eukaryota, Metazoa, Chordata, Actinopteri, Pomacentridae.